Molecule: long non-coding RNA, 269 nt
Filed under: Mytilus galloprovincialis (Mediterranean mussel)
Lineage: Eukaryota; Metazoa; Mollusca; Bivalvia; Mytilida; Mytilidae
Source: RNAcentral
GCCUGCCUGUUUGCUUGCCAGUCUACCUCCUUGUCUGCCUUCCUGUCUGUCUGCCUGCCUGCCUGCCUGUCAACUGACUGACGUACUUACUUACUUACUUACUUACUUACUUACUUACUUACUUACAUUUCCUUACUUACUUUUUUACUACUGACUUACAAUUCCUUACUUACUUUUUUACUACUGACUUAAAAUUACUUACAUAAUUUAACUUACUUACUUACCUUUAUACAUGUACCAACUUACUUAAAUAAUGUACAUACCUACUU